This 253-nucleotide ribosomal RNA is filed under the name uncultured bacterium. Its description in RNAcentral is "partial 16S ribosomal RNA". It matches the Rfam family "Bacterial small subunit ribosomal RNA", at positions 524 to 776 of the family's 1533-position model. The record is from RNAcentral.
UACGGAGGGUGCAAGCGUUGUCCGGAUUUAUUGGGUUUAAAGGGUGCGUAGGCGGUGCGAUAAGUCCGUGGUGAAAGCCGCUUGCUCAACAAGCGAACUGCCAUGGAUACUGUCGGACUUGAGUGUAGACGAGGGCGGCGGAACGGAUGGUGUAGCGGUGAAAUGCAUAGAUACCAUCCAGAACCCCGAUUGCGAAGGCAGCUGCCUAGACUACAACUGACGCUGAGGCACGAAAGCGUGGGGAGCAAACAGG